This 376-nucleotide ribosomal RNA is filed under the name Anelosimus salut. RNAcentral's name for it is "partial 16S ribosomal RNA". Lineage: Eukaryota; Metazoa; Arthropoda; Arachnida; Araneae; Theridiidae. The record is from RNAcentral.
UUUGUUUUUUAAUUAAAAACUAGAAUGAAAGAUUUAACAUUUUAAUUUCUUUAUUAAAUUUUUAUUAUAAAUUUAUAUUAAAUAUAAAAAUAUAUUUAUAAAUAAAAAAGACGACAAGACCCUAUUAAAUUUUACUUAAUGUUUAGCUGGGGCAGCUUUUUAAAUAAAACUUUAAAUAAUAAUAAUAAUAUAUAUAUAAUUUUAAAAUCUAAUAUAAUUAAAUUAUUAACUAAUUACUAUAGGGAUAACAGCGUUAUAUUUUUUUCAAGUUCAUAUUUAAAAAAUUUAUUGCGACCUCGAUGUUGAAUUAUAUUUCUUUAUUAAUGUAACAAUUAUAAAAGUAGGUCUGUUCGACCUUUAAAAUAUUACAUGAUCU